GACGAACGCUGGCGGCGUGCUUAACACAUGCAAGUCGAACGGAAAGGCCCCUUUGGUGGUCCUCGAGUGGCGAACGGGUGAGUAACACGUGAGUAACCUGCCCUUGACUUCGGGAUAACUUCAGGAAACUGGGGCUAAUACCGGUAAGGAAUCCUUUCUUCAUGGGGGGGGUUGGAAAGCUUCGGCGGUUUUGGAUGGCCUGGCGGGUUAUCAGCUUGUUGGUGGGGCAGUGGCUUACCAAGGCUUUGACGGGUAGCAGGCCUGCGAGGGCGACCGGCCACAUUGGGACUGAGAUACGGCCCAGACGCCUACGGGAGGCAGCAGUGGGGAAUAUUGCACAAUGGGCGGAAGCCUGAUGCAGCAACGCCGCGGGCGGGAUGACGGCCUUCGGGUUGUAAAACGCUUUCAGCAGGGGCGAAGCUUGUGGUGACGGUACCUGCAGAAGAAGCACCGGCUAACUACGUG
This 465-nucleotide ribosomal RNA is filed under the name uncultured bacterium. RNAcentral's name for it is "partial 16S ribosomal RNA". It matches the Rfam family "Bacterial small subunit ribosomal RNA", at positions 28 to 507 of the family's 1533-position model. The record is from RNAcentral.